GAGGAAUCCUGAGCAGAGCCCCAGCUCCUGUGACUGCCGUAGCCCUUGCGUGCAAGAGGGCUGGCCAGGGCUUGUGGGUGGACUUCAAACCAACACUUGAGUGCCCUCACCAAGUCUUGGCCCCUGUGUGAAUUCCUGCCUUUCCCAGAAAUGAGUCCAGGGUGUCUGACCUCA
Homo sapiens (human) is the source of this 174-nucleotide long non-coding RNA. The record is from Ensembl. NCBI's taxonomy places the organism in Eukaryota, Metazoa, Chordata, Mammalia, Primates, Hominidae.